RNAcentral lists this microRNA precursor (99 nucleotides) under Microcebus murinus (gray mouse lemur). RNAcentral's name for it is "miRNA (ENSMICG00000043575.1)". The record is from RNAcentral. Lineage: Eukaryota; Metazoa; Chordata; Mammalia; Primates; Cheirogaleidae.
GAGGUGGGAGGAUCUCUUGAGCCCAGGAAUUUGAGGCUGUAGUGAACUGUGAUUACCCCACUGCACUCCAGCCUGAGUGACAGAGUAAGACCCUAUCUC